CAAACGGAGAGUUUGAUCCUGGCUCAGGAUGAACGCUGGCGGCGUGCCUAACACAUGCAAGUCGAACGGUCUUUCGGGACAGUGGCGCACGGGUGAGUAAGACGCAGC
RNAcentral lists this ribosomal RNA (108 nucleotides) under Anaerolineae bacterium. RNAcentral's name for it is "partial 16S ribosomal RNA". It matches the Rfam family "Bacterial small subunit ribosomal RNA", at positions 1 to 121 of the family's 1533-position model. Lineage: Bacteria; Bacillati; Chloroflexota; Anaerolineae. The record is from RNAcentral.